UUUGAAUAAAAGUAGUUAAGUUCUUCAUAACUCAAAUAAUUUGGCGGUUAAUUUUAUUUUUAGAGGAACCUGUAAUUUAAUUGAUAAACCACGAUAGAUUUUACCAUUUUUUUAUCUGUAUACCUCUAUGGUUAUUAGAGUGUUUUUUAUAAAAAUUUUCUUUUACAUUUGUUUCUUUUAUUUUAGGUCAAGGUGCAGUUUUAAUUUGGUAAUUAUGGGUUACAUUAAUUUUUAAUUUUUAUUAAUUUAAUAUUUACAAUUUAUUUAUACUGGAUUUAAAAGUAAAUUUAAUUAAUUAAUUAUUUUGAAUUUUA
RNAcentral lists this ribosomal RNA (314 nucleotides) under Notocera sp. CPL-2004a. RNAcentral describes it as "partial 12S small subunit ribosomal RNA". The record is from RNAcentral. Lineage: Eukaryota; Metazoa; Arthropoda; Insecta; Hemiptera; Membracidae.